UUUUCUUAGGGUGUGUUUCAUAACCCAACGAGGGGCUUUGGAAGAAAGGGUGGCCAAGGGCUCAUCUGUGACCCUCAGCCUCAUGAGAAUUGUGGGAAGUUUUCUCUACCCUGGCACCUACCUCACUCUUUACUGGAAGACCCGUAUAGGACCGCACGCACAGUUUUUGCUGCCCCUCUCCAGAAUUUUUCACCUCGUGGGACAUUGCUGUGACCAUCAUGGGAGGAUGGCCUGAACCCUGGAGAGAAGUUAGCCUCCAAUAGCUUGAAGGAGACUGACAAGGACCAUCUCCUGGAAGGAAGAAAAGAAAGUGCUAAUGUGGCACGGGUGAGGGACUGACCUAAGUUUUUUUCACAAGUGAGCUCAUCUGAGGGGCUGAGGCUGUAGCUCAAUGGUAAAGUGCUUGCCUCUCAUGUGUGAGGCAUUGGGUUCAAUCCUCAGCACCACGUAAAAAUAAAGAUACAAGUGAGCUCAUCUGAGUCCAUAAGGGUGUUGUGAGCUAGGUGGAACAUUUGAUAUAAGGAAAUUGGUUCAUCAGGUUAAAAUAGGUCACCUCAUAUCUCAUAGCAAGGAUGACAUAGAGCCAUACUCUUGGAGACUCCACUGCAGUUGUGUUCUAGGGUUCUGGCAAGAAAGGAUCAUCUGGUCAAGUCUCCCUCACAGUCUUGAGAUGCUAGGGACCAUAUUAGAGGGUAUGAACGAAGGCAUCUUACACUAUGGCCUACCCCUCCAAGUUCUCAGCCGUUUGUCUCAGAACAAAACCACACUAGGUAGCCAGGUGUUCAGGCGUAUGCCUGUAAUCCCUGCUACUUGGGAGGCUGAGGGAGGGAGAUUGCAAGACCAGCCAAAACAAUUUAGUGAGAUCCUGUCUCAAAAAAGGGCUGGGGAUAUAGCUUAGUGGUUAAGUGCACCCAUGUUCUAUCCCUGGUACCAGAAAAACAACAACAACAAAAAUAAAAUAAAACACAUUAAACCAUGCGGGGUGGCUUUAUGCUUGUAAUCCCAGCAGUUUGGCAGUUUGGGAGACUGAGACAGGAGCAUUGCAAGUUCAAAGCCAGCCUCAGCAAAAGUGAGGUGCUAAGCAACUCAGUGAGACCCUUUCUCUAAGUAAAAUACAAAAUAGCACCGGGGAUGUGGCUCAGUGGCCUAGUGCCCCUGAGUUCAAUCUCUGGUACAAAAAAGAACAAAAAAAAAACCCACAUAAGUAACAGAUGAAGGAGGGCAUUUGAGGUAGAAUCCCCAAAAGGCAGAGGAGAGGCAACCCUCCCCCACUCUUCCUUGGUCUUGGAGGGGUUAAUGAAAGGAGUCCUGUGUAUCAGAGUUGGGCCUUUUUUUAGCACCAUCUGGCAGGAGUCACCUCUCCUGCACCUGCUACUUAUACAAACCAUUGCUCCUUUGCCAGUCAGCAGUGCAGAGAUGUGAUGCCUGUGUAAUUUGGAUUCAGUGGCCCCCAGGGUCAGUAUGUUCUUUGUUUCAUGUUCUGAAAAUGGAAGCCCCUACUUGCUGUUGAGUUGUAUGUGGAACCGAAGGGACAAGAGAAAGUCAACAGAGGCAGAAGUCUCUCUCUCCCACCCUCCAAUCUCAAAACUUGGCUGAAGUAUGAGAAAGAGAAACUUCCAAGGCAAACAAAUGAAGGCCUAAGUAUUUAGGAAUAGUUCUUCAAAGCACAGGGCUUUGUAGGUAGGUACUUCUUAGUUCUGAACAGGUAGCUUCUAUGUUUCAGAUCAAAACAGUGCAUGAAACUGGUUGACCCAGGGACCCUUGGAAUUGAGUGAGGUUUUCCCUUCCUUUCUUUGCUGCCAAAGCAGCUUUUCCUGUCCUAAAUUAGCUGACAUACUUAUUGAGACCUACAAAGUGUGGACCCUCAGGAACUUGCAGACAAGUGAGGGGCUGGAGAGUGACUAUAAUUUAGGUUAAGUCUACUCAGUUGUGUUAUGAACCAGUUUGAAGAAGUGAACAGAAGGGGUCUGGUCAUCCUCAGAAGUAUAGAAGUGAGGGCUGGGGAUGUGGCUCAAGCGGUAGCGUGCUCGCCUAGCAUGCGUGCGGCCCUGGUUCGAUCCUCAGCACCACAUACAAACAAAGAUGUUAUGUCCGCCGA
This 2098-nucleotide long non-coding RNA is filed under the name Marmota monax (woodchuck). Lineage: Eukaryota; Metazoa; Chordata; Mammalia; Rodentia; Sciuridae. The record is from RNAcentral.